RNAcentral lists this unclassified non-coding RNA (155 nucleotides) under uncultured Preussia. RNAcentral's name for it is "sequence contains ITS2". The record is from RNAcentral. Lineage: Eukaryota; Fungi; Ascomycota; Dothideomycetes; Pleosporales; Sporormiaceae.
GUAACCUCAAGCUCAGCUUGGUGUUGGGUGUCUGUCCCCGCCCCGCGCGGGGACUCGCCUCAAAAACAUUGGCGGCCGGUACGUUGGCUUCGAGCGCAGCAGAAACGCGAACUCGAGGCCCGACGGAUCGGCGACCAGAAGUCACUUCUUCCACA